UACAGAGGUGGCAAGCGUUGUUCGGAAUUACUGGGCGUAAAGGGCGAGUAGGUGGCCAUCUAAGUCAGACGUGAAAUCCCCCGGCUUAACCUGGGAACUGCGUCUGAUACUGGACGGCUUGAGUAUGGGAGAGGAACGUAGAAUUCCAGGUGUAGCGGUGAAAUGCGUAGAUAUCUGGAGGAAUACCGGUGGCGAAGGCGGGACUCUGGGCCGAUACUGACGCUGAGGAGCGAAAGCGUGGGGAGCAAACAGG
Molecule: ribosomal RNA, 253 nt
Filed under: uncultured bacterium
Lineage: Bacteria
Description: partial 16S ribosomal RNA
Rfam family: Bacterial small subunit ribosomal RNA
Source: RNAcentral